RNAcentral lists this ribosomal RNA (668 nucleotides) under Arthrobacter tumbae. RNAcentral describes it as "bacterial SSU rRNA". It matches the Rfam family "Bacterial small subunit ribosomal RNA", at positions 92 to 774 of the family's 1533-position model. Lineage: Bacteria; Bacillati; Actinomycetota; Actinomycetes; Micrococcales; Micrococcaceae. The record is from RNAcentral.
UUAGUGGCGAACGGGUGAGUAACACGUGAGUAACCUGCCCUUGACUCUGGGAUAAGCCUGGGAAACUGGGUCUAAUACUGGAUAUGACCUUCCAUCGCAUGGUGGUUGGUGGAAAGCUUUUGUGGUUUUGGAUGGACUCGCGGCCUAUCAGCUUGUUGGUGGGGUAAUGGCCUACCAAGGCGACGACGGGUAGCCGGCCUGAGAGGGUGGACGGCCACACUGGGACUGAGACACGGCCCAGACUCCUACGGGAGGCAGCAGUGGGGAAUAUUGCACAAUGGGCGCAAGCCUGAUGCAGCGACGCCGCGUGAGGGAUGAAGGCCUUCGGGUUGUAAACCUCUUUCAGUAGGGAAGAAGCGAAAGUGACGGUACCUGCAGAAGAAGCGCCGGCUAACUACGUGCCAGCAGCCGCGGUAAUACGUAGGGCGCAAGCGUUAUCCGGAAUUAUUGGGCGUAAAGAGCUCGUAGGCGGUUUGUCGCGUCUGCCGUGAAAGUCCGGGGCUUAACUCCGGAUCUGCGGUGGGUACGGGCAGACUUGAGUGAUGUAGGGGAGACUGGAAUUCCUGGUGUAGCGGUGAAAUGCGCAGAUAUCAGGAGGAACACCGAUGGCGAAGGCAGGUCUCUGGGCAUUAACUGACGCUGAGGAGCGAAAGCAUGGGGAGCGAACA